Molecule: transfer RNA, 85 nt
Filed under: Puniceicoccales bacterium
Lineage: Bacteria; Pseudomonadati; Verrucomicrobiota; Opitutia; Puniceicoccales
Description: tRNA-Leu
Rfam family: tRNA
About the family: Transfer RNA (tRNA) molecules are approximately 80 nucleotides in length. Their secondary structure includes four short double-helical elements and three loops (D, anti-codon, and T loops).
Source: RNAcentral
GCUCGGGUGGUGAAAUUGGCAGACACGCUAGACUUAGGAUCUAGUGCCGCACGGCAUGGGGGUUCGAGUCCCCCCUCGAGCACCA